Molecule: ribosomal RNA, 253 nt
Filed under: uncultured bacterium
Lineage: Bacteria
Description: partial 16S ribosomal RNA
Rfam family: Bacterial small subunit ribosomal RNA
Source: RNAcentral
UACGUAGGGUGCGAGCGUUAAUCGGAAUUACCGGGCGUAAAGCGUGCGCAGGCGGCGCGUUAAGACAGGUGUGAAAGCCCCGAGCUUAACUUGGGAAUUGCGCUUGUGACUGACGUGCUGGAGUGUGGCAGAGGGAGGUGGAAUUCCACGUGUAGCAGUGAAAUGCGUAGAGAUGUGGAGGAACACCGAUGGCGAAGGCAGCCUCCUGGGCCAGCACUGACGCUCAUGCACGAAAGCGUGGGGAGCAAACAGG